RNAcentral lists this ribosomal RNA (254 nucleotides) under uncultured bacterium. RNAcentral describes it as "partial 16S ribosomal RNA". It matches the Rfam family "Bacterial small subunit ribosomal RNA", at positions 524 to 776 of the family's 1533-position model. The record is from RNAcentral.
UACGUAGGGUGCAAGCGUUAAUCGGAAUUACUGGGCGUAAAGCGUGCGCAGGCGGUUAUGUAAGACAGGUGUGAAAUCCCCGGGCUUAACCUGGGAACUGCAUUUGUGACUGCAUAGCUAGAGUACGGUAGAGGGGGAUGGAAUUCCGCGUGUAGCAGUGAAAUGCGUAGAUAUCGGGAGGAAUACCUAUAGCGAAAAGCAGGUCUCUGGGCCAUCACUGACGCUGAGCUGCGAAAGCUAGGGGAGCAAACAGG